Molecule: non-coding RNA, 109 nt
Organism: Acanthosepion pharaonis
Lineage: Eukaryota; Metazoa; Mollusca; Cephalopoda; Sepiida; Sepiidae
Source: the annotation of a GenBank genome assembly
AGCCACAUCACAUUGAAGCACCAGUUCCCAAACAAUCACCAAAGUUAAGUAACAUCGAGGCUGAUCAGUACCUAGAUGGGUAACCACUUGGGAAUACCAGGUGCUGUAA